GGAGGGUGCAAGCGUUAUCCGGAUUCACUGGGUUUAAAGGGUGCGUAGGUGGGUCUGUAAGUCAGUGGUGAAAUCCCCGAGCUUAACUUGGGAACUGCCGUUGAUACUAUAGAUCUUGAAUAUCGUGGAGGUAAGCGGAAUAUGUCAUGUAGCGGUGAAAUGCUUAGAUAUGACAUAGAACACCAAUUGCGAAGGCAGCUUACUACACGAUCAUUGACACUGAGGCACGAAAGCGUGGGGAGCAAACAGGAUUAGAUACCCUGGUAGUCCACGCCCUAAACUAUGGAUACUCGACAUCAGCGAUACACAGUUGGUGUCUGAGCGAAAGCAUUAAGUAUCCCACCUGGGAAGUACGAUCGCAAGAUUG
This 367-nucleotide ribosomal RNA is filed under the name uncultured bacterium. RNAcentral's name for it is "bacterial SSU rRNA". It matches the Rfam family "Bacterial small subunit ribosomal RNA", at positions 527 to 896 of the family's 1533-position model. The record is from RNAcentral.